CAGGAGCAGCCCAAAGAAAUAGCAAAAAAAAAAAAAAAGAACUAUUUCGGGCUCUUCGAACCCAUUCUGGCGAACUUCAUCAAUAGCUGAGAUGCACACAUAGACCCUCACUUCUCUUCUUCACUUCUUCACUCUCUUCCAGAAUUCUUCCUACGUCAUAUUUUCUUUUUCUCCUCUCUAGUCCUCAAUUCCCGUCCACUUUCAUAUUAGGAUACCCAGGUAACCUCCGCAGCUGAAGAAAGUCAAGCAAAAAGAUCAGAUUGGGGUGGCGGCGGGGGGGGAGGGGAAUGCAGGGUGUGUGUGUGUGUGUGUGUGUGUGUGUGUUCUUUCCAGAAAGUAAAUCUAAUCCAAAUGGAAAAUUGAAACUAGUCAAGGAAAACACACUGGAAACUUUCACUGAAGGGGUUCUAGCUGCAAAACUCCCAUAAUUCCACAUUCUUCACAAUACUGCCUAUCCCUUGACAAAUGGGAUCACAAAAAUAAGUUAAAAGAAAAGCUGUUUCCAAGCCCAGCAACAACCCUAGGAAUGAUUUACAGCACAGGCAACCCCGCUUCCACAGUUAACCACACUGUGCGUAUUUCUAACAGAGUUACAAGCAAUUCCCAGUGGUCUUUGGCAACAUCCCAGAAUCUUUUUCAAAUAAAGCAAAAGUAAAUAGCGCAAAAAACUUCAAAAUCAAAAAACUCCUUUGGCCGCUACACAGCAAAUUCCAUUACAGUGGCUUGCAAGUUUCCAAAUUGUUCAAAUAGAUUAAAAACCCAGUCUGCAUUCGUUUUACACUUUGCAUUCUGCAAUAGCUACGAACAGAAACCACAGAGAACAGAGCGAAGUGCACUGCAGUAAGAAUGAGCAAAUUCACCGCCCCAAAUCAGUAACUUGCAAGUAAUCGGAAAUCAAAAAUUUCUAAUGAGAAUAUUUCUGAGGGGGAGAACAUGAAGUUUCUUUCUAAAAUACUCAUUCAGGGUGUUCCCGUCGUGGCUCAGCAGUUAACGAACCCGACUAGCAUCCAUGAGGACACGGGUUCAAUCCCUGGCCUCCCUCAGUGGGUUAAGGAUCCAGCGUUGCCGUGAGCUGGGGUGUAGGUUGCAGACGCGGCUUGGAUCUGGCAUUGCUGUGGCUCUGGUGUAGGCUGGCAGCUGCAGCUCUGAUUUGACCCCUAGCCUAGGAACCUCCAUAGGCCAUGGGUGUGGCCCCCCCCAAAAAAAACAAUGACAAAAUUCAAGCCAAUCCCAUUCACGAUACAAAGGAAAACCGUUUUAUGGGUCAAAAAUAAAACACGGAUUUCAAAUCAACUCAUCAGCGUGACAUAACUGAUCCUACAACUCCGAGUCUAAUUUUUCCCCAUCAAUCCAAAAUCUCUGGGCUACCCCCACCACAAUGCUAGCCUGGCCUUUUCCAAUCCCAGAAAAAGCCUUUCUUUUUGUCAGGUUCCCCGUUAUUUGGAGCUUUGGUCCAUCAAUGUAAAACGAAUUAUUUUUCAAGCCUUUCUUAUUUUAAAUAUUCCUCUUCUGGAAGUAGGUCACUCUUGUGUGAGUCUGAGCUUCUCUUUGAACUGAUUACCUGUUUCUCCGUAUCUCCCCUAAUAGGAACGUGGAAGGCAUUCAAAGUGUGAAAUCCAAUUCCAGUUAAUUUUAUUGAUUCCUUUCACAGGCUCCUUAUUUCUUAUGCUAAUUCAUGUUUAUUUGAAAAGGAGAAAACAAAACAGCCUUUUUGGAGAGAAUGCCUUCAAAAUCUGUAAAGAGCCAGUACAUGUUUAUUCAAUUAUAAAUGAGCUAUAUAAUAUUUAAAUCACUCACCGGAAAUAAAGAUGGGUUUCAACCCACUCCAGAACACAGCAACNUAACUUGACCUCAUCUUUGAAAGUGCAUGAAUGACUGAGAUGAUAAAACAGACACCACACCGUCACAUCCACACACACACACCAGGCUACCUGACCGUUCCACCCUGUCCCCUCAUUGAGUUUAUCGAUGCUGUCCCUGUCCCCUCCUCGCGCUCCCUGCUGAAGUCAGAAUAAAAUGGCAAGUCCUACCUAAGGGCACUUCGCCGAGAUUUCCCUUCCCUGCAAGAAUUCCUCUUAAUUUUGAAAGGGGAUGACGAGGUACAGUUUUGCCCUGCAUAACUUGCCACCGUGUCUGGGAAGCGACAGCCAGACCCUGGAAGAUAAGUGUUGUGUGGCUCUAUCAGAGUGGCCUGGCGCCCAUCCGGCUUUUCCCUGCAUCUAGGUGACAUUCUGUUUCUGUUCCAAAUCUCCCGGUUCUAGAGAGCUCAGUUUUCUCCCUCGUAAUGGAUUAAUCCCAGAGUAACAACUCUGGGAGCAAAGAUGAGAGGCUCAAAUGUGCUGAGGGCAAGGAGUUCCUAUCGUGGCUCAGCAGUAACAAACGUGACUAGUAUCCAUGAGGACGUGGGUUCGAUCCCUGGCCUUGCUCAGUGGGUUAAGGAUCCAGGCGUUGCUGUGAGUGUGGUGUAGGUCGAAGAUGUGGCUUGGAUCUGGUGUUGCUGUGGCUGUGGUGUAGGCCGGCGGCUACAGCUCUGAUUCAGUCCCUAGCCUGGGAACUGCCAUAUACUGUGGGUGCAACCUAAAAAGACAAUUAAAAUAACAGGUACUGAAUGCCAUAAGCAAAUGGACUCUGGACUUGCUUCCAAAAUCAUAACUGCCUGGAUCCAACCCAGAGAAGGUGAUCCCUGCAUCCCCCUUUGAAGGACAGCCACUCUCUAGGUCUGUCACUGAAACAAGUGAUUUACUGCCUCAACCUAACAGGCCUUCUGAAAAAAGGCCUGUUUCUGAAAAAAGUCAUUUUCUCCUAAAUCAUUCAUAAUUCAUCAUUUAAGUGGCAGUCAUUCUCUCCUGAUCACAAACAACUCCCAAGAAAUUACCUUCAUCAUCUCCCGCAGGAAUAUGACCUAGAAGCAAGACAUCUGACUCCACAUUCCAGAACCCCUAUCUGGAUAAUGACCGAAGGGGCAAAGGGGCCUUAAGAUUGGUCCGUUUCAUUUUCUAAAUCUGGUUCCUCCUUCUCUCUGUAUCC
Molecule: long non-coding RNA, 3027 nt
Filed under: Sus scrofa (pig)
Lineage: Eukaryota; Metazoa; Chordata; Mammalia; Artiodactyla; Suidae
Description: lncRNA (ENSSSCG00015026384.1)
Source: RNAcentral